Molecule: non-coding RNA, 1321 nt
Organism: Pelodiscus sinensis (Chinese soft-shelled turtle)
Lineage: Eukaryota; Metazoa; Chordata; Testudines; Trionychidae
Source: RefSeq, a predicted model, not a curated record
GACACUUAGAAGAAACAAACUCUGAGAUAAAAGGUGUCGUGAAACUGGCAAUAAUUCCAAGCCACCUCUUCCUUUGAAGGAAACUCCACUCCCACCCCCUCGCUCCCAACCCGAUGCUAGUCCCAUUAAGUAUUGACCUCUGAUUGUGUGCUUGUGCUAAAGGAAGUGUUUGUUUCAAAACUGCAGCAGACUUGAGAAUGAGAUAGUGUCUAGAAACAUCUGUUUUUGUUCAGCGCUACAUCCGCCUGCAUCCAGUUCCUCCAAGAAGUUAAAGGUGCUGAGUUCCUUGAUAUGCUGGAUCUCUUCUAGAAGUGGGUUCUACAGUCAUGCUCCGCCCCAUCCCACUGACCAAGCAAACAUAGGACUUAUUAAUUUCCUCCCGGAGGAUGCACUGGACUUAUCCUUGCCCCUGCUUGAGCAACUAAGCAUGAUGCUUUUUGACUGGGAUAUCUUUUUCCAGUUCUGCUCAGUGUAAUCACAUUAUUGCUGAAAAUGUCACCCUGGCCAAUUGCUAAAGGCAUUUUUGAAGCAGGAGAGAAAUCGCUUUAAAAAGACCAACACUGGAAGAACUGGACUGUGGUAGAAGCAAAGCAAUAAAUUUGAUCCUCCCACACUUGGCAUGGUAGCUGAAGCAGACUGACCAAACACUGAGUGGCCAGAUGAUGCGAACACCUUUUCACCUCUAUGUGAUUCCUCCAGGCUAGGAGUCACCAUGAUCCACAGCUGAAACAGAUGGAAAAAUAUCCCCUGCUAACAGUUUGAGAUUUUCAGAAAAGCACAUAAGAGAUGAACCAAGGCAGAGGAUUGGGCCACUGGGAAGCAGACCAAGAUUCAUGUUCAGCUGCAGAAACUGGUUUGGUGCUCAUCUCCAGUGAUUGUCAUUUUUCCCUACGAUCUCAUGAAGGCUUGAUACAACUCAUUAGAAGCUCAUCAGUGCUACUCGUAUGGGGCCUGUGGCCAGCCUAAUAAUAACAAUCUUCCCCAUGUGAAGGACUAAGCAAACUGCUUUCUCCAUUGUUCCCCCUCCUGGCUGCCAAAACUGGAGUUUCUUCUAUGGAUUUCAACAGGGGGUUUGUAUUGUGUUUUUUUUAAUUAAAAAAAUGUGUUGGGUUUUUUUUGCAGCGCUGACCUAUUAAGCAGAAAAAUAAAUACCAUGGACCAGCCCUCCACCCUUGCCUUGUCCCUUAUGCACUGCUCCAGAAAGCUUAAACUGUUAGCUGGGGAUUUUCCUAACAUGGGGAAAUAUCUUAGUAACGUAUAGCUGGCUUUAUGCCACUUGUUCCUGGGUCAUGCCAUCCCCAGCACAGAGGACUUUCAGGAA